ACGUAGGGGGCAAGCGUUGUCCGGAUUUAUUGGGCGUAAAGAGCUCGUAGGCGGUUCCGUAAGUCGAGUGUGAAAAAUCUGGGCUCAACCCAGUGGAGCACUCGAUACUGCGGUGACUAGAGUACGGUAGAGGAGUGUGGAAUUCCUGGUGUAGCGGUGAAAUGCGCAGAUAUCAGGAGGAACACCAACGGCGAAGGCAGCACUCUGGGCCGGUACUGACACUGAGGCACGAAAGCGUGGGGAGCAAACAGGA
This 253-nucleotide ribosomal RNA is filed under the name uncultured prokaryote. RNAcentral's name for it is "partial 16S ribosomal RNA". It matches the Rfam family "Bacterial small subunit ribosomal RNA", at positions 525 to 777 of the family's 1533-position model. The record is from RNAcentral.